ACAGUGUCUGGUGGGUAGUUUGACUGGGGCGGUCUCCUCCUAAAGAGUAACGGAGGAGCACGAAGGUUGGCUAAUCCUGGUCGGACAUCAGGAGGUUAGUGCAAUGGCAUAAGCCAGCUUGACUGCGAGCGUGACGGCGCGAGCAGGUGCGAAAGCAGGUCAUAGUGAUCCGGUGGUUCUGAAUGGAAGGGCCAUCGCUCAACGGAUAAAAGGUACUCCGGGGAUAACAGGCUGAUACCGCCCAAGAGUUCAUAUCGACGGCGGUGUUUGGCACCUCGAUGUCGGCUCAUCACAUCCUGGGGCUGAAGUAGGUCCCAAGGGUAUGGCUGUUCGCCAUUUAAAGUGGUA
This 348-nucleotide ribosomal RNA is filed under the name Escherichia coli. RNAcentral describes it as "partial 23S ribosomal RNA". It matches the Rfam family "Bacterial large subunit ribosomal RNA", at positions 2251 to 2598 of the family's 2925-position model. The record is from RNAcentral. Lineage: Bacteria; Pseudomonadati; Pseudomonadota; Gammaproteobacteria; Enterobacterales; Enterobacteriaceae.